This 72-nucleotide transfer RNA is filed under the name Microcaldota archaeon. RNAcentral's name for it is "tRNA-Asn". It matches the Rfam family "tRNA". From Rfam's summary of the family: Transfer RNA (tRNA) molecules are approximately 80 nucleotides in length. Their secondary structure includes four short double-helical elements and three loops (D, anti-codon, and T loops). The record is from RNAcentral. Lineage: Archaea; Nanobdellati; Microcaldota.
GCCCGAUUAGCUCAGUGGUAGAGCGCCUGGCUGUUAACCAGGAUGUCGCAGGUUCAAUCCCUGCAUCGGGCG